Molecule: non-coding RNA, 73 nt
Organism: Myotis lucifugus (little brown bat)
Lineage: Eukaryota; Metazoa; Chordata; Mammalia; Chiroptera; Vespertilionidae
Source: Rfam
AGACUCCCUUUGGGGUCGGCAGGCUCCGGAGCUGCUCGAACUGGAGACAAAACCAAAAGACAAAGUUGGAAAA